UACGGGGGGGCAAGCGUUGUUCGGAAUUACUGGGCGUAAAGGGCUCGUAGGUGGCCAACUAAGUCAGACGUGAAAUCCCUCGGCUUAACCGGGGAACUGCGUCUGAUACUGGAUGGCUUGAGUGUGGGAGAGGGAUGCGGAAUUCCAGGUGUAGCGGUGAAAUGCGUAGAUAUCUGGAGGAACACCGGUGGCGAAGGCGGCAUCCUGGACCAUUACUGACACUGAAUAGCGAAAGCCAGGGGAGCAAACGGG
RNAcentral lists this ribosomal RNA (252 nucleotides) under uncultured bacterium. RNAcentral's name for it is "partial 16S ribosomal RNA". It matches the Rfam family "Bacterial small subunit ribosomal RNA", at positions 524 to 776 of the family's 1533-position model. The record is from RNAcentral.